RNAcentral lists this transfer RNA (77 nucleotides) under Pseudomonas savastanoi pv. glycinea. RNAcentral describes it as "tRNA-Val". It matches the Rfam family "tRNA". From Rfam's summary of the family: Transfer RNA (tRNA) molecules are approximately 80 nucleotides in length. Their secondary structure includes four short double-helical elements and three loops (D, anti-codon, and T loops). The record is from RNAcentral. RNAcentral also lists the same sequence under 2 other names. Lineage: Bacteria; Pseudomonadati; Pseudomonadota; Gammaproteobacteria; Pseudomonadales; Pseudomonadaceae.
AGGCACGUAGCUCAGUUGGUUAGAGCACCACCUUGACAUGGUGAGGGUCGUUGGUUCGAGUCCAAUCGCGCCUACCA